RNAcentral lists this ribosomal RNA (250 nucleotides) under uncultured bacterium. RNAcentral describes it as "partial 16S ribosomal RNA". It matches the Rfam family "Bacterial small subunit ribosomal RNA", at positions 525 to 775 of the family's 1533-position model. The record is from RNAcentral.
ACGUAUGGAGCGAGCGUUGUCCGGAAUUAUUGGGCGUAAAGGGUACGCAGGCGGUUUAAUAAGUCGAAUGUUAAAGAUCGGGGCUCAACCCCGUAAAGCAUUGGAAACUGAUAAACUUGAGUAGUGGAGAGGAAAGUGGAAUUCCUAGUGUAGUGGUGAAAUACGUAGAUAUUAGGAGGAAUACCAGUAGCGAAGGCGACUUUCUGGACACAAACUGACGCUGAGGUACGAAAGCGUGGGGAGCAAACAG